CCUACGGGGGGCAGCAGUCGAGAAUCAUUCACAAUGGGGGAAACCCUGAUGGUGCGACGCCGCGUGGGGGAAUGAAGGUCUUCGGAUUGUAAACCCCUGUCAUGUGGGAGCAAAUUAAAAAGAUAGUACCACAAGAGGAAGAGACGGCUAACUCUGUGCCAGCAGCCGCGGUAAUACAGAGGUCUCAAGCGUUGUUCGGAAUCACUGGGCGUAAAGCGUGCGUAGGCUGUUUCGUAAGUCGUGUGUGAAAGGCGCGGGCUCAACCGGCGGACGGCACAUGAUACUGCGAGACUAGAGUAAGGGAGGGGGAACCGGAAUUCUCGGUGUAGCAGUGAAAUGCGUAGAUAUCGAGAGGAACACUCGUGGCGAAGGCGGGUUCCUGGACAUUAACUGACGCUGAGGCACGAAGGCCAGGGGAGCGAAAGGGAUUAGAUACCCGAGUAGUC
This 446-nucleotide ribosomal RNA is filed under the name uncultured bacterium. RNAcentral describes it as "partial 16S ribosomal RNA". It matches the Rfam family "Bacterial small subunit ribosomal RNA", at positions 338 to 795 of the family's 1533-position model. The record is from RNAcentral.